AUCCCAUAUCCUCCCAGCUUUACACAAGCACCCGACUGUAACACGCUCUAAGCAAUACGUACUACUGUCAACAUUGUACUGGACUAGGGCUCCGGUCUGAACCAGUAUAAUCAACUCGCCUCAGAUCCACCCUCGAGCUCCACCCGUAGCUCAUCAUUCGGAGUGAGUACCGCGCAAACACCCCUGCCGAACACAAAUCUUAUUGUCCACGGGUUCCGAAAACCACAACAAAUAGUUAUCCAUAUUAAAAUUAAUUAAAAUCAAUAUCUAUAUAUUGUUAACAAUACAAAGUUACAUUUUAGAGAUGGACUAUCGUUAGGUAAUUAUACAUGCAUGUUAUCUGUUAAAUUAAAAUUAUUGUUUUUUCUUUAGGGCUAGUUUGGCAACCCCAUUUUUCAAUGGAAUUUCCAAUUUUCCAAGGAAAAAUGAACUAAUUUCCCUUGGGAAAAUGAAAAACUUUUGGAAAAUAGGGUUCCCAAACUGGCCCUUAUAUAGCUAAUUAGUCAUGAUUAUAAGAUUUGGAUGGCUUCAAAACCUGGGGAUGAUGGUAAUGUAGGGCAUUUCAUAUUUUUAUCGAUGUGAAAUUAGAUAGAUAUAUAGUAGCAGUCUUUUUUAAAGAAAAAAUAAUUGCGAACAUUAUCUAUACAAUCAAAACAAGCAUACGGAUAUCCAUAUUGACAGCAAAUAGAUAUCGGAUCUUGCAGAUAUAUCUAGACUAGACAUCCGCAUUGUCUCGAGGCCCUAGAACGACACGUAUUACCCUGUGUGGGCCCUCCUGCUUUCUUACCCGACCUACUGCUAUCUCCGAUCGAUCCAUUGUGGCACCAUGAUGCUUCAGUGCACUAACGUACAAAAGCAGAGCGCUUUAUUAUUAUUUAUUUAUACGUAUAUGGCAGUCAUAGAUCGCCAGCCACUGCUGCCUCAGCUCGGUCAUUACCCUAACAGCGGGCCUCAUCACCAUCGGCGUCUACCUACCAGCAAGAGCAGUCAGUCACUUACCGAACCCUACUGCAGCUGCUUUUGUUUCCUUAUGCCCUCGACCGC
Molecule: long non-coding RNA, 1044 nt
Filed under: Zea mays
Lineage: Eukaryota; Viridiplantae; Streptophyta; Magnoliopsida; Poales; Poaceae
Description: long non-coding RNA (ZMAY_LNC002375)
Source: RNAcentral